This 253-nucleotide ribosomal RNA is filed under the name uncultured bacterium. RNAcentral's name for it is "partial 16S ribosomal RNA". It matches the Rfam family "Archaeal small subunit ribosomal RNA", at positions 474 to 727 of the family's 1478-position model. The record is from RNAcentral.
UACCAGCACCCCGAGUGGUCGGGACGAUUAUUGGGCCUAAAGCAUCCGUAGCCGGUUUUACAAGUCCUCCGUUAAAUCCAACUGCUUAACAGAUGGGCCGCGGAGGAUACUAUAGAGCUAGGAGGCGGGAGAGGCAAGCGGUACUUAGUGGGUAGGGGUAAAAUCCGUUGAUCCAUUGAAGACCACCAGUGGCGAAGGCGGCUUGCCAGAACGCACUCGACGGUGAGGGAUGAAAGCUGGGGGAGCAAACCGG